Molecule: transfer RNA, 84 nt
Filed under: Patescibacteria group bacterium
Lineage: Bacteria
Description: tRNA-Tyr
Rfam family: tRNA
About the family: Transfer RNA (tRNA) molecules are approximately 80 nucleotides in length. Their secondary structure includes four short double-helical elements and three loops (D, anti-codon, and T loops).
Source: RNAcentral
GCCAGGGUGGUAGAGUGGUCAAAUACAACAGUCUGUAAAACUGUCGCCUUAACGGCUACCCAGGUUCGAAUCCUGGCCCUGGCA